This 229-nucleotide unclassified non-coding RNA is filed under the name uncultured fungus. RNAcentral's name for it is "sequence contains ITS1, 5.8S rRNA gene". The stretch from base 181 to 229 matches the Rfam family "5.8S ribosomal RNA", at positions 1 to 49 of the family's 154-position model. Lineage: Eukaryota; Fungi. The record is from RNAcentral.
UCUCCGUAGGUGAACCUGCGGAGGGAUCAUUACUGAGUGAGGGCCCCCGGCCCGACCUCCAACCCUUUGUGUAUCUCGACCCUGUUGCCUCGGGGGCGACCCGGCCUUCGGGCGUCGGGGCCCCCGGCGGACCACUCAACUCUGCAUCUUUGCGUCUGAGUAUUGAAUUGAAUCAAUCAAAACUUUCAACAACGGAUCUCUUGGUUCUGGCAUCGAUGAAGAACGCAGC